Molecule: long non-coding RNA, 1164 nt
Organism: Oncorhynchus tshawytscha (Chinook salmon)
Lineage: Eukaryota; Metazoa; Chordata; Actinopteri; Salmoniformes; Salmonidae
Source: Ensembl
GAAGAGACCAGAGUCUGAUAUUCCACGUGUUCAGUUUGCUCAGAAUUAUCCAGUGGACCUGUCCUCAAUAUUCAGGGUGAGCUACGCAAUUAAACAUGUACAUUUAAAAAAAACGAUUUGACAGUUUUUAAAAGUGCAAUUAAAACAGCCUUUUAAUUUGUAAUUCCUUUGAACUGUUUCAGUCACUUGAGGAUGAUGUAACUUUUAUGAGGGAUGAGCUGGGAAAAAAACUGCAUUGUUGGUUAAGGGUUUGAGUUUCAGUAUGUGUUUGAGAGAGUAGCUGAGCAAGGAAACCCAACCCUUUUAAAGAAGAUCUACAUAGAGCUCUGCAUUACAGAGGGUGAAAGUGGCGAGGUCAACAUCAAGUGAGACAGCAUCAAAGAAACCAGCGACACAGAUGCCGUCAGGCUCAGAUCGGACCCAGAGACAGCGCACACACUCCUCUUUCUGUAUGAGAACAGAAUAGUGACAUGGGUGGGAGAGAAGCAGCCAUAUCCUGACCAUCCAGAAAGGUUUGAGCCCUCACAAUGUGCUGCGUGGAGAGAGUCUGACUGGAUGCUGCUCCUGGGGGACAGAGUGAAGAGGACGGGCUCAUGUAGGAGUGACAUAUGAAAGGAUCAGAUGGAAAGGAGAGCAUGAUGACUCUCUCCAUGGAUACUAUGACAAAUCCUGGAUUCUAAAGUGCCCUGGUGGCAAUUAUACUGCCUGUCAUAAUAGGAAGGGUAGUGACAUGCAUGUCUUCUACUCUCGCUCCGACACAGUAGGAGUGUAUCUGGACAGAGUCAAUUGUAACACACUGAUCCACCUGCACACAUAAUACCCGGCAGUCACUGAGCCUCUCUACCCAGGGGUUUGGGUUGGCGUUCACGCCUCAGUGUCCCUGUGCCAAGUAGAACUCCGCGUCCUGUGUCCAGAAGGAACACCUUCAGGAAAGUCACACUCCUGUCCAAACACAACUGUGGGACAUGACGGGGCACUUUUUUGCUGUCAUCAUGGCAGACAGCGGGGGCGUUGUACUCGUCUAGUCCAUUCAGUGCAGAUUUGAAUAACCCCUUUCGCAAAGAGACACCUUUUACAACGUAGAUUUGUCUGGAGACAUGGGUUGGACACGUAGCCUCGGGAAGGACGGGUGCUGAAGGUGCUGCAGCACCCCCUGGUGGUGAG